This 450-nucleotide ribosomal RNA is filed under the name uncultured bacterium. RNAcentral's name for it is "partial 16S ribosomal RNA". It matches the Rfam family "Bacterial small subunit ribosomal RNA", at positions 354 to 796 of the family's 1533-position model. The record is from RNAcentral.
GUGGGGAAUAUUGGACAAUGGGCGAAAGCCUGAUCCAGCCAUGCCGCGUGUGUGAAGAAGGUCUUCGGAUUGUAAAGCACUUUAAGUUGGGAGGAAGGGUAGUAACCUAAUACGUUGCUACUUUGACGUUACCGACAGAAUAAGCACCGGCUAACUUCGUGCCAGCAGCCGCGGUAAUACGAAGGGUGCAAGCGUUAAUCGGAAUUACUGGGCGUAAAUCGAGCGUAGGUGGUUCAGUAAGUUGGAAGUGAAAUCCCCGGGCUCAACCUGGGAACUGCUUUCAAAACUGCUGAGCUAGAGUACGGUAGAGGGUGGUGAAAUUUCCUGUGUAGCGGUGAAAUGCGUAGAUAUAGGAAGGAACACCAGUGGCGAAGGCGACCACCUGGACUGAUACUGACACUGAGGUGCGAAAGCGUGGGGAGCAAACAGGAUUAGAUACCCGUGUAGUCC